GACCACACCUCAUCUUGGGUGUGUUCUAUGCAUUGUUGGGGUCAAUGAUUUAUUCUCAGAGGCAUGUGAAUGAUCAACAAGGGAUCUCUAAUCCUCGUUAUGAGAGGAUGAAUACUCUAAGAUAUGAUUCGGGAAUCUUCGGCCGAAGUAUUGAGCGUAAUAAAGGAAAGCGUUCCUAUACGACUCAAUUGAAUCAUAUAACAUGGAAUAAUCACAUUAGGGGUUUGACAUAAUAUAUCCAUACCCCAAUAAUGUGAUUGAGAGUAUUGUUUUAGAGAAGGAUCGAAUUACAUUGUAAUUCCAACUGGAUAGGUUCUCCGAACAAAUUCUACAUUAGCUUGGUUAGCCAUGAUAUAUGGUUAGAUGUCACUCAUGGCUUUUGAGUUCUUCUAGAUGAUUAAAUAAGUAGUCAUCAAAGAAGAAGGAGAAUUAAAAGUAAGUUUUAAUUCACUAAGUGAUUGGAUUAAAUAUAAUCAAUUGGAUUGGUGCCAAUCACCUCACUACCUUGCUAAUUAGAACCUAAAAUGAUUGUACACUGAUACACUCUUGUAAUGAGACAACUAAUGGAUAAUGGAAUAAAUUAAUUGGAUUAAUUAAGUGUUAUGAUUAAUUAGAAAGUCUAAAGAAAUCAUAGAAGCGAUGAAAGAUCGUUUUUGGACUUAAAGAAAAGUUCGGGUUAAUAUGGGCCCAUUAAGCCCAAACCCAUUGGGCUUUUAUUUAAGCAUAGGAUGACUUGAAAUAAUAAAAGCCCAAAGCCCAAACAACACUAAAGGGGCCGGCCAAAUAAAGGGAAAGGGAGAGAGAGGGAGUCAAAUUGUUGGCUAACUAUCUUUGAGAUAUAAAAGGAACUUUUAGUGAAAAGUUUCAUUAGGGUUUUGUGUGUUCAUUUUGCACAAAAGAAGAAAACAUCUCUCUCUCCAAAAACACACACAAGGCCGGCCACCAUAAGGGAGAAGUAGCUAAUCAUCUUCUCUCCCUUUUGGUUAUUCCUCCAUCCAUCUCACUACACUAGUGGGUGUGGAUCUUUAGAGGUCUUCAACCUUGGAGACUAAAGGAGAACCAAGGAGCACUCAUUCUAGCAAGGUGGAGGAAGCAAGGAGGGAGGCUAGGCUCAAGGAGUUCCAAGAACAAAGAGCUUGGAGGUUGUCAAUCCUUGGUCUCAAGUCUAGAUCAAGAGGUAUAAAACUAUACCUUCACUUUGUUCUUCGAUAAUUUCUUAGAUGCAUCAUAUAUGAACCUAUGCUUCUUAAAGGGGAUUUGCAUGACUAUAGCUUUGAUAUUAUGUGAUAACAUGCUUCCAUUGCUAAUGUAUAUAAAUUUUGAAUUGUAUAUGCAUGCUAGUCACUAGAAAUCCCACAUAAAUCUCAUUAUAUCCCUUCAGGAUCAAGGUGAUCCGGUGCACCUCUUCCCUCUUAUUUCCCCUCAUUUCUUCUCUCCCCAAUUGGUCACUUUCUCUUUCCUUUCUUUCUAAUUGGGCAUCCCGCCCCU
RNAcentral lists this long non-coding RNA (1488 nucleotides) under Malus domestica (apple). RNAcentral's name for it is "long non-coding RNA (MDOM_LNC000099)". Lineage: Eukaryota; Viridiplantae; Streptophyta; Magnoliopsida; Rosales; Rosaceae. The record is from RNAcentral.